Molecule: ribosomal RNA, 274 nt
Filed under: uncultured bacterium
Lineage: Bacteria
Description: partial 16S ribosomal RNA
Rfam family: Bacterial small subunit ribosomal RNA
Source: RNAcentral
AUACGGAGGGUCCGAGCGUUAUCGGGAAUCAUUGGGUUUAAAGGGUCCGUAGGCGGGAAUCUAAGUCAGUGGUGAAAUCUUGCAGCUCAACUGUAAAAUUGCCAUUGAUACUGGAUUUCUUGAAUUAGUGUGAAGUGGUUAGAAUGUGUAGUGUAGCGGUGAAAUGCAUAGAUAUUACACAGAAUACCAAUUGCGAAGGCAGAUCACUAACACUAUAUUGACGCUAAGGGACGAAAGCGUGGGGAGCGAACAGGAUUAGAUACCCCAGUAGUCC